This 377-nucleotide ribosomal RNA is filed under the name uncultured eukaryote. RNAcentral's name for it is "partial 18S ribosomal RNA". It matches the Rfam family "Eukaryotic small subunit ribosomal RNA", at positions 592 to 976 of the family's 1831-position model. The record is from RNAcentral.
CAAUAGCGUAUAUUAAAGUUGUUGCAGUUAAAAAGCUCGUAGUUGGAUUUCGGGGCAGCCUGGCUGGUCCGCCGCAAGGCGAGUACUGGUCAGCCGCCCUUCCUCUCGAAAGCCCCGACUGCUCUUCGUUGCAGUGGUCGGGUAGUUCGGGACGUUUACUUUGAAAAAAUUAGAGUGUUCAAGGCAGGCCUACGCCUGAAUACAUUAGCAUGGAAUAAUGGAAGAGGACCUCGGUCCUAUUUUGUUGGUUUCCAGGGCCGAAGUAAUGAUUAAGAGGGACGGUUGGGGGCAUUCGUAUUUAAUUGUCAGAGGUGAAAUUCUCGGAUUUAUGAAAGACGAACAACUGCGAAAGCAUUUGCCAAGGAUGUUUUCAUUAA